This 1092-nucleotide ribosomal RNA is filed under the name Clostridioides difficile. RNAcentral's name for it is "partial 23S ribosomal RNA". It matches the Rfam family "Bacterial large subunit ribosomal RNA", at positions 1189 to 2297 of the family's 2925-position model. Lineage: Bacteria; Bacillati; Bacillota; Clostridia; Peptostreptococcales; Peptostreptococcaceae. The record is from RNAcentral.
UACUACCGAAGCUACGGCAUCAGUAAUGAUGGGUAGGGGAGCUUCCCAUACGGGUUGAAGCAUGACCGUAAGGACAUGUGGACAGUAUGGGAGUGAGAAUGUUGGCAUGAGUAGCGAGAUGUGGGUGAGAAUCCCACAGGCCGUAAACCCAAGGUUUCCAGGGGAAGGUUCGUCCGCCCUGGGUUAGUCGGGACCUAAGCUGAGGCCGAAAGGCGUAGGUGAUGGACAACAGGUUGAUAUUCCUGUACUACCGAUAACCGUUUGAGAGAAGGGAUGACACAGUAGGAUAAGCUAAGCACACUGUUGGUUAUGUGUGCCCAAGCAUUGAGGCAGUCAAAGUAGGCAAAUCCGCUUUGAUAAUGCUGGGAUGUGAUGGGGAGCGAAAUUUAGUAGCGAAGUAGCUGAUUUCACACUGUCAAGAAAAGUCUCUAUCGAGGUUAAAGGUACCCGUACCGCAAACCGACACAGGUGGGUGAGGAGAGUAUCCUAAGGCCAGCGAGAGAACUGUUGUUAAGGAACUCGGCAAAAUGACCCCGUAACUUAGGGAUAAGGGGUGCCACCAUCAGGUGGCCGCAGAGAAUAGGCCCAAGCGACUGUUUACCAAAAACAUAGGUUUCUGCUAAGUCGCAAGACGAUGUAUAGGAGCUGACGCCUGCCCGGUGCUGGAAGGUUAAGGGGAUCUGUUAGAGCAAUCGAAGCAGUGAACUUAAGCCCCAGUAAACGGCGGCCGUAACUAUAACGGUCCUAAGGUAGCGAAAUUCCUUGUCGGGUAAGUUCCGACCCGCACGAAAGGCGUAACGAUUUGGGCACUGUCUCAACAACAGACUCGGUGAAAUUGUAAUUCCGGUGAAGAUGCCGGAUACCUGCGACAGGACGGAAAGACCCCAUGGAGCUUUACUGUAGCUUGACAUUGGGUCUUGGUACUACAUGUACAGGAUAGGUGGGAGGCUUUGAAACCAGGACGCCAGUUUUGGCGGAGCCAUCCUUGGGAUACCACCCUUGUAGUACUGGGACUCUAACCAUAGGCCAUGAAUCUGGUCUUGGGACACUGUCAGGUGGGCAGUUUGACUGGGGCGGUCGCCUCCCAAAAGG